Molecule: ribosomal RNA, 253 nt
Filed under: uncultured bacterium
Lineage: Bacteria
Description: partial 16S ribosomal RNA
Rfam family: Bacterial small subunit ribosomal RNA
Source: RNAcentral
UACGAACCGAGCGAACGUUGUUCGGAAUCACUGGGCUUAAAGGGCGCGUAGGCGGGUGCUCAAGUCCGGGGUGAAAUCCUCCAGCUCAACUGGAGAACUGCCUCGGAUACUGGGCGUCUCGAGUGUGGUAGGGGUAUGCGGAACUAUCGGUGGAGCGGUGAAAUGCGUAGAUAUCGUAAGGAAGACCAGUGGCGAAGGCGGGUCUCUGGACAGUUCCUGACGCUGAGGCACGAAGGCCAGGGGAGCAAACGGG